UCAAUGGGCGGAAGCCUGAACCAGCCAUGCCGCGUGCGGGAAGGAGGCCCUAUGGGCUGUGAACCGCUUUUGCCUGGGGGCAAUAAGGGCGUCGCGCACGUCCGAUGAGAGUACCAGGCGAAUAAGCAUCGGCUAACUCCGUGCCAGCAGCCGCGGUAAUACGGGGGAUGCGAGCGUUAUCCGGAUUCAUUGGGUUUAAAGGGUGCGUAGGCUGUGCGUCAAGUCGGGGGUGAAAUUCCGGUGCUCAACACCGGGGCUGCCCUUGAUACUGUCGCGCUGGAGUGCGGAUGCCGCCGGAGGAAUGAGUGGUGUAGCGGUGAAAUGCUUAGAUAUCACUCAGAACACCGAUUGCGAAGGCAUCUGGCGAAUCCGUAACUGACGCUGAGGCACGAAAGCGUGGGGAUAGAACAGGAUUAGAUACCCUGGUAUUCCACGCCGUAAACGAUGAUGGCUAACCGCCGGCGACACACUGUCGGUGGCCAAG
RNAcentral lists this ribosomal RNA (484 nucleotides) under uncultured bacterium. RNAcentral describes it as "bacterial SSU rRNA". It matches the Rfam family "Bacterial small subunit ribosomal RNA", at positions 368 to 851 of the family's 1533-position model. The record is from RNAcentral.